This 544-nucleotide ribosomal RNA is filed under the name uncultured bacterium. RNAcentral describes it as "partial 16S ribosomal RNA". It matches the Rfam family "Bacterial small subunit ribosomal RNA", at positions 355 to 891 of the family's 1533-position model. The record is from RNAcentral.
UGGGGAAUUUUGGACAAUGGGCGAAAGCCUGAUCCAGCAAUGCCGCGUGUGUGAAGAAGGCCUUCGGGUUGUAGAGCACUUUUGUCCGGAAAGAAAUCCUUGGCUCUAAUACAGUCGGGGGAUGACGGUACCGGAAGAAUAAGCACCGGCUAACUACGUGCCAGCAGCCGCGGUAAUACGUAGGGUGCAAGCGUUAAUCGGAAUUACUGGGCGUAAAGCGUGCGCAGGCGGUUUGCUAAGACCGAUGUGAAAUCCCCGGGCUCAACCUGGGAACUGCAUUGGUGACUGGCAGGCUAGAGUAUGGCAGAGGGGGGUAGAAUUCCACGUGUAGCAGUGAAAUGCGUAGAGAUGUGGAGGAAUACCGAUGGCGAAGGCAGCCCCCUGGGCCAAUACUGACGCUCAUGCACGAAAGCGUGGGGAGCAAACAGGAUUAGAUACCCUGGUAGUCCACGCCCUAAAACGAUGUCAACUAGUUGUUGGGGAUUCAUUUCCUUAGUAACGUAGCUAACGCGUGAAGUUGACCGCCUGGGGAGUACGGUCGCAA